Molecule: small nucleolar RNA, 86 nt
Filed under: Brassica napus (rape)
Lineage: Eukaryota; Viridiplantae; Streptophyta; Magnoliopsida; Brassicales; Brassicaceae
Also listed under: 1 other name
Description: snoRNA snoR44_J54
Rfam family: Small nucleolar RNA R44/J54/Z268 family
About the family: R44, J54 and Z268 are members of the C/D class of snoRNA which contain the C (UGAUGA) and D (CUGA) box motifs. Most of the members of the box C/D family function in directing site-specific 2'-O-methylation of substrate RNAs.
Source: Rfam by way of RNAcentral
UUUGUAAGUGAAAGAUUAAACAGACAGGGACAUCAGAAAUAAUCUGUGUUGACUUUAGUCUUUAAUGGAAAUCUCUCUGAUGCAAU